Long non-coding RNA from Magnolia sinica, 524 nucleotides. RefSeq lists it as uncharacterized. NCBI's taxonomy places the organism in Eukaryota, Viridiplantae, Streptophyta, Magnoliopsida, Magnoliales, Magnoliaceae. The record is from RefSeq and is a predicted model, not a curated record. The transcript is spliced from 3 exons.
UCCAAGCCCGACUGGCUGCUGCAGAGGCAGAAAGGGUAGCAGCUGAACAGGAGAAGCGUGAAAAGGAGGAAUCUUUUUCUUUUUUCUUUUGCUGAACAAGAACUCAUCAUGGAAAGGGUGGUCUAAGAGUCAAAGAAACUUCAGCAGGAAGCAGAGGAGAAUGCGAAGGUAAUGAUAAAGGUGACAGCUACAAGCAACAAAGACUAAUAUAAUUCAUAGCAUUGUCUGAUCGUCUUGAUGCUCUGUUGCAGCUACGGGAGUUCUUAAUGGACCGUGGUCAUGUUGUCGAUGUAUUGCAGAUUGCCUCAAGUUCUUAAAAGAAAUACCUUCUACAGCAACAAAUGAUGCAUCUGCCAAUCCUUUCCAACAUUCCAGCUCUGUCAUGAAUCUUUAUUUAGAGACAAGUUCUACUCUUUUGAAGGUCCUUCAAGCCCAUUUUGGCCAGCUCAUCUCCCACCAACUUUCUAAGGAAUUGAGAAGGUUGUGGGCAUCAUCUGUGCAUGCUAAUCCAAGAUUGCAAAAUG